CCCUUAGAUGUUCUGGGCCGCACGCGUGCUACACUGAGUGGAUCAGCGGGUCAGGUUGCGCGAAAGCGUUUCCUAAUCUUUAAAUCCGCUCGUGAUGGGGAUUGACGGUUGCAAUUUUCUGUCAUGAACGAGGAAUACCUUGUAAGCGCGGGUCAUCAUCCCGCGCUGAAUACGUCCCUGCCCUUUGUACACACCGCCCGUCGCUCCUACCGAUUGAGUGGUCCGGUGAGCUCUUCGGACUGCGCGGUCUGCAGUUUCUGCGUUCCGUGCGGAAAGUUGCGCAAACCUUAACAUUUAGAGGAAGGAGAAGUCGUAACA
This 318-nucleotide ribosomal RNA is filed under the name uncultured eukaryote. RNAcentral's name for it is "partial 18S ribosomal RNA". It matches the Rfam family "Eukaryotic small subunit ribosomal RNA", at positions 1470 to 1796 of the family's 1831-position model. The record is from RNAcentral.